Molecule: long non-coding RNA, 451 nt
Organism: Neofelis nebulosa (Clouded leopard)
Lineage: Eukaryota; Metazoa; Chordata; Mammalia; Carnivora; Felidae
Exons: 4
Source: RefSeq, a predicted model, not a curated record
UUCAUUUUCAACAAAUCUCCGGUCAGUGUAACCGGGUUCCAGAUAGGUGCCACAGCCAACACCUCUACUGUGCACAGGCUCAGGCAGCCACAUCUGCCUCUUCCACAGCGUACUACAGACUGGGCCAGGCCAACCACUUCAGCAAAUCCAAAGUUUCCUUUGAAGGAAAUGCCAACCCAGACAUAAGCACCCCUGAAACCCACCUGACAGAGUGACAUGGCACCAAGCUUUGCCACAUGUUCUGUGCCAGCCGCAGAUUCCUGAGGUGGCCCAGGUUCAUUACACGCCGGUGGAUAUGCAGCGCAAGGUAGAGGGUUCUGAUCAGGACUCUACAUCAACGCCAGUCUUCUCCAGCUCACAUAGUGUCCUCAGCUACCUGUGCCAAACACGACUGUCUCCACCUUGCAGAUGGAAAACGGAGGGCACAAGGACAUGAAAUGACUCGCCCUAG